UAUCAGUCAUGCAUAGCAUAUCAAUAAGCGGAGGAAAAGAAACUAACAAGGAUUCCCUUAGUAACGGCGAGUGAAGCGGGAAGAGCUCAAAUUUGAAAUCUUCAAGGUUUUACCUUGACGAAUUGUAGUUUAAAGAAGUGUUUUCUGUUGAAGUUUUGGUAAAAGUUCUUUGGAAUAGGACAUCAUAGAGGGUGAGAAUCCCGUAUUUGACCAUUACUUUCAGCUUUGUGAUACACUUUCAAAGAGUCGGAUUGUUUGGGAAUGCAGUCCAAAAUGGGUGGUAAAUUUCAUCUAAAGCUAAAUAUUGGCGAGAGACCGAUAGCGAACAAGUACCGUGAGGGAAAGAUGAAAAGAACUUUGAAAAGAGAGUUAAACAGUACGUGAAAUUGUCAAAAGGGAAGCGUUUGACACCAGUGUUGUUUUCUCGAAAAUCAAUUAAAAAGAGUUGGAUCUUGUGUUGUAUUGACUUUAUCGGCUUUCUUCACUCUUUUCCAGCUUUUUUUAAUGCACUUUUCGUUUAACAAGUCAACAUCAGUUUCUUUUGUUGUAAAAAGGUCAUUGGAAGGUGGCUUUCUCUUCGGAGAAAGUGUUUAUAGCCUUUGACUCAUGCAAUCGGAGAGACUGAGGUCUGCAGCGUAGAUCCUUCGGGGUUAGAUACAUUUGUGCUAAGUUAUAGCUUUUCAUAGACAACUUGUUGACUAUGUUUAGUCUUGUAGCUUACUCGCUUAUGCUAUUUUACCUACGCUUAGGAUGUUGAACUCUAUCACACACAG
This 773-nucleotide ribosomal RNA is filed under the name uncultured Neocallimastigales. RNAcentral describes it as "partial large subunit ribosomal RNA". It matches the Rfam family "Eukaryotic large subunit ribosomal RNA", at positions 22 to 621 of the family's 3401-position model. Lineage: Eukaryota; Fungi; Neocallimastigomycota; Neocallimastigomycetes; Neocallimastigales. The record is from RNAcentral.